CUUGAUUUAAUGUCUAGAACAUUUGGAGACCCCAGCUGGCCUCCUAAGGAAGGCAGCCAGAAUGGAGAUGGAGUGGGAUGCUGGAUUGAGGCCUAGGCAGGCCCUUCCCCCACAGCGAAGGUUUUGUGAGGAGUAUCUUUUGUUCGAACCUUCUGUUAGGUUCUGAUUCCAUCCAUCUCUCAACCAGCGGAAGAGGCAAGCUUGGCCCCUGGGCUCAGGGGCCCUGCUGUGGUGUGUAAUCACACCGAGGACAGCAAUUCUGGCAUGAUGUACCAGAUGCCAGCUAGCAUGCUCUCUCUUAUCAUAUCCACCCUCUGGGAAAAGACUUAUUAGCAUCUCAUUCUAUAGACACAGAACCGUGGGAGCAUCUGAUCAAGGUUACUGACUUAGCAAGCAAAGACAGGGAUCCUAGGAGCUGGAGACCACACUCAUCCUUGCUGUGGACACACACCGAUCGAGGCAGAGUCUGGGCUGCCAGCAGGGCUGAGGUGGUGGAACAGAACGGGUGAAAUCCGGAAGACUGGUGCUUACAU
Myodes glareolus (Bank vole) is the source of this 533-nucleotide non-coding RNA. The record is from RefSeq and is a predicted model, not a curated record. Lineage: Eukaryota; Metazoa; Chordata; Mammalia; Rodentia; Cricetidae.